Cinara cedri is the source of this 1880-nucleotide non-coding RNA. The record is from the annotation of a GenBank genome assembly. Lineage: Eukaryota; Metazoa; Arthropoda; Insecta; Hemiptera; Aphididae.
CGACUACACUAAACAUAAAAUCAAUAUUAUUAUAUUAUAAACAUAUUCUUUCGUCCCAUAAGUAUAUUUUUAUUUACGUUCUAUAUAACAUAUAUUAUGUGUAUUAUAAUAUAUUUGUAUACAAUAUAAUAAUAGUAUGAUUCAAUAGUUUUAAUAAGAUUGUCAUGAAUUUUACUAUGCAAUAAUAAUAAUAUGAAAUGGUCUAUAAUAUAUGAAUACGAAAAACAAAAAUUAAAACUUCGAAACCAUUACCCCCACGAAAAAAAAAAUACAAUAUAAUAAUAUAAUUUUUCACCGUUAAAUGCAACGAAAAUGCGUACAAAACAAAUUACAAUAAUAAUAAUUUAAUACAUUUUAAUAAUAGAAUGGUAACUUUAAAAAAUAAAAUACAAUUAUUAGCUUGGUAUAUAGACGGAACUAUAAGUCCAGCGAGUACUACAUUACGUUUUUUUUUUCUUUUCUAUAAUAUUACACUGUCCAAACUUACCUACUCCGACUGAGAAAACCUUGUGCCCCACAUACACUACACCGCGGUCAAACACGAAUUUAAUUACCUUAUCGCCACGGUUAAAGUUACUUAUACGAGACGACGACAAAAUAACAAUAAAACAUCAAAAUAUUACAAAUAUUACCGACAUAUAGCGCUGCAUUAUAACCCGUAUUAAAAUAUACAUAAAUAUAGUCAUGUUCUAUAGAAUACGAAUAAUGAUGGGUUGCAUAAACGUUCACUAACAAUUGAAUGAACCGUUAGGCAUUAGGGUAAGUACUUUCUUAAAUCUUAGUAAAUCUUUAUGGGUUAAUCAAAAAAAUAUACUCGUUUUAUGAUGUUUAAAUAUUUGCAUAAUAUGUUUGAUUAUUUUGGAAAGUGUAAAUUUUAAAUUAUUUGCAAAUUAAUUUAUGAUUAUCAAUAUUGCAGGUAUCGUUUCUCUUGGUGCUAACGUUUAUAAUCAACAACUAACCACGUGACCAAAGAAAAAACCAUCAUUAAUAAAUCGUUUAUGUAACUCAAACAGCUUUCUUAAAUUGUUUAAUUGUACAAUAAAUCCUACCGAUCAAUAAAUUUAAUGAAAGGUUUUAUACAAUCUAGGAUGAUAAGUAUAUUAAAUUAUGAAGAAACACAAAUAAAUCGAUACGAUAAAUAUUUAAAAAAAUUAUCGUAUUAUUAUAAUAUAGUAGUAGAGAAUAUGAAAAAAAUGUAUUUUACAAUUUGUACAUAUAAAAUUAAUAAUACAAAUAUUUUUAUUAAUUUAUUUUAUUAAUUAUUGAUAGGUAAUCAGGUAUAGAUAUUAUGUACUAAUAUACGUUUGAUAAAAAAUAGAUUUACAAAAAUCGACAUAAUAAAACGAAUUAAAUAUUAUAGGUAUUAUGAUAACAUUUUAAUAUAAUAACACAUCAAGAAGUAAAAAUUAAUAAUAUUUUAUUGGUUCGUCAGAGCGCUGCAUGUCAAUAAUUAAUGGGUUGUUUUAUUUAACUGUGUUAUUUUAAUACUAUGACCGCGAUCUUUACCAAUACACGAUUCUGCAUGAUGGCUAUAAAUAUAACAUACAAUAUAUUUACAACUCUUUACCUAAUAUAUAUAUAUAUACACGAUUCCGCAUGAAAACUGCCACAACAUCAAAUUUUUAUCAACAAGAACAACAACAAAAUAAAUAUUGCAGUAGGUACUUGAACUGUACUGGUUUGAGUGUGUUUGGCAUCUAUGCUAGGAUAACGGUUGCACCUCCCAACCUAUAUGUUUCGAAAUUUAAUAGAUUCCAUUGAUUUUUGCUGAUUUAUACGACAAAUCUCGACAUUUGUGCCUUCGAACUUUCCGACAUAUAGGUACCAAUUUUUCUUGAAGGGCUCUGAGGUUUCUUACGUUCCUAGCUCACAGUAAAUCA